This 465-nucleotide ribosomal RNA is filed under the name uncultured bacterium. Its description in RNAcentral is "partial 16S ribosomal RNA". It matches the Rfam family "Bacterial small subunit ribosomal RNA", at positions 338 to 795 of the family's 1533-position model. The record is from RNAcentral.
CCUACGGGCGGCAGCAGUGGGGAAUAUUGCGCAAUGGGCGAAAGCCUGACGCAGCGACGCCGCGUGAGGGAUGAAGGUCUUCGGAUCGUAAACCUCUGUCAGCAGGGAAGAACGGUCACUGUGCUAAUCAGCAGUGAAUUGACGGUACCUGCAAAGGUAGCACCGGCUAACUCCGUGCCAGCAGCCGCGGUAAUACGGAGGGUGCGAGCGCUAAUCGGAAUUACUGGGCGUAAAGCGCUCGUAGGCGGUAUGUCAAGUCAAGGGUGAAAUCCCCGCGCUGAACGUGGGAACUGCCUUUGAAACUGGCAAACUGGAGAGUGUGAGAGGAUAGUGGAAUUCCAGGUGUAGGGGUGAAAUGCGUAGAUAUCAGGAAGAACAUAGAUGGCGAAGGCGACUAUCUGGCACAUAACUGACGCUGAGGAGCGAAAGCGUGGGUAGCAAACAGGAUUAGAUACCCGAGUAGUC